RNAcentral lists this unclassified non-coding RNA (357 nucleotides) under soil metagenome. RNAcentral's name for it is "partial contains 5.8S ribosomal RNA, internal transcribed spacer 2, and large subunit ribosomal RNA". The stretch from base 1 to 120 matches the Rfam family "5.8S ribosomal RNA", at positions 35 to 154 of the family's 154-position model. The record is from RNAcentral.
GAUGAAGAACGCAGCGAAAUGCGAUAAGUAAUGUGAAUUGCAGAAUUCAGUGAAUCAUCGAAUCUUUGAACGCACAUUGCGCCCGCUAGUAUUCUGGCGGGCAUGCCUGUUCGAGCGUCAUUUCAACCCUCAGGCCCCCAGUGCCUGGCGUUGGGGAUCGGCCGCUGGCGUCCUUCGGGGCGCCUGGCCGGCCCCGAAAUCUAGUGGCGGUCUCGCUGUAGUCCUCCUCUGCGUAGUAGCACAACCUCGCAGUUGGAACUCGGUGGUGGCCAUGCCGUUAAACACCCCACUUCUGAAAGUUGACCUCGGAUCAGGUAGGAAUACCCGCUGAACUUAAGCAUAUCAAUAAGCGGAGGA